This 540-nucleotide long non-coding RNA is filed under the name Equus caballus (horse). RNAcentral describes it as "lncRNA (ENSECAG00000050741.1)". The record is from RNAcentral. Lineage: Eukaryota; Metazoa; Chordata; Mammalia; Perissodactyla; Equidae.
AUGUUCUGCCCACCGUUCCCACAGUAGGAACUGAUUUGGAGGACGCAGCCUUGAGAAAGCAACGUGUUGCGAAGACCAUUUGGCUGGUGUACGUGACUUUUGAGAUUCUGGAGGGUGGUGAGAUCUACUCUUCCUGAGGCCGCCCAGGAGGUUGAGUCCACGAGCACGCCUGAAUAAGCUACAACCUACUUUCCAUCUCAAAGUUGGAUCUCCAGGGAACUCAGCCUACACUAUUGAACACCUCCAUCUGAGAAUACUGCUGAGACCAGCUCAUUGCUGUCUAGAAUUUGGAGCUGGGCUUUUUGGAGGAGUUCAUCCUAGCGUGCUCUGCAGAUCAAGAGGAAUAAGUCACAAGGCCAGAAGGAGUGAGGAGACCCUCGUUGCAAAACAAAACAGAGCAUCUGGGGUUUAGCAGCUCCUAUGAAGUAGUCCCUAGGACUCAAAAGCAAGGCCCGACUGCUUGCUGUCAGUGUGGCAUGUUGAAGAAGUGGAUUCUUCUAAUUAACUCAAGAUGGCAAUCUCCCAAAGCUGUCUGUUUUC